This 246-nucleotide long non-coding RNA is filed under the name Vitis vinifera (wine grape). RNAcentral's name for it is "long non-coding RNA (VVIN_LNC007443)". The record is from RNAcentral. Lineage: Eukaryota; Viridiplantae; Streptophyta; Magnoliopsida; Vitales; Vitaceae.
GAGUGAGUGAAGUGGGGUUUGAUGACUGUGAAUUCUAGAAGUAGUGGUGGUGAAGAAGGGUGAGGAACUAAGAGGUUUGAUUACUAAAAAUAAAGGUGAAUGUCGAAGAAGCAGCAAAAAUAUAAUUGUGUGGAAUCGGGAGUGCCUUGCCUUGUGCAGUACACCACCCAACUGGGAAAAUUCCUCCUUAGUGACAACUUAUAUCCACUCUUGCAUGGUCUGAAUGGCCACUCUAUGCCACGUGUC